Molecule: RNA transcript, 5212 nt
Organism: Amaranthus tricolor (Joseph's coat)
Lineage: Eukaryota; Viridiplantae; Streptophyta; Magnoliopsida; Caryophyllales; Amaranthaceae
Exons: 5
Source: RefSeq, a predicted model, not a curated record
AACUCCUUUACUACUUCAUUUUUCUAUUUACUCAUUUACUUCUUCACACCUACACCUACUGCGUCAUUUUACUACUUCACGCCUACAUCAAACAAGACGAAGGAUGCAUGAAGAUUAUAUCCCCAAGCUUAAUCAAGCUUCAUGACCGCAAAUAAAGCCUCUAAAAAGUUUACUAAAAUGGCAAAAUCAUUGGGAGGUUCUAGCUCCUUCAAAAGAAAGAUCACUUCAACUCCGUCGGUAUCAACAACACCUUCGAUUAGCAACUAUAAUUAUGAACCAAAUUAUCCAGAAGGGUACGACCAAGAAUUACACAAUUAUGCAGAAGAAGUGGAAAGAGAAAUACAAAUUGAUGAAGAAAAAGAACAAGAAGAGGAACCAACGACCCCAAUUGAGAUACAUAGAUCUCGACAGUCAUCAACAAGAUCACAUGAAGAACAACUAAAACAACAACAACAAAGACAAGCUCGUGGUAAACGAGUCAAUUUCCAAACUAUUGGUGCUGGUACGGGAUCUUUAACAAACAUUUGGCAAAGAAGCAUGGAAUCACAAAAGAAACUCAUGCAGCAAGCGGCAACGGGACCACAAGUGGAAGUCGACAAUGGGACAUUCCCAGCACAGGAUAUCCUUGCAAUUCCUGCUUCUACGAUUGCGUCGAAGUCUGCUUUUAGUGCAGGUAGAAGAGUUUUAGACGAAAAGAGAUCUCGUCUUGCUCCACAUAGUGUACAAUAUGUGUUUGCAAGAAAGAUUGGGAUCAAGCGGAGCUUCGAACACAAGGACUAAAGAACGAUGAUGAUCAAGGCGAUGAUGAUGAUCCAUGGAUGAUGAUGGAUACAUCUGCAUCAUCGUCAGGAGGAGAGUCAGCGGAAGCAUCUAACCAACCAGAUGAUGAUGACGAAGACGAAUAGGGUCAAUCGGACAACGAUCAAUCAACAUUCAACAACUACAAAUAAAAGGAAAAUUAAAAAUGGAACCGAUGGUCCGACCCGCCCGACCCACGAGUUGGAACCGCCGGAACCGUCUCAUGAACCGCCAAGGAACCGUUUGGAAUCGCUCGAAACCGGAACGUUCGAAUCAGGUUCCAAAUGGAACCGGAACCGGAUGGAACAGGAACGGAACCGACUCAACCCGAACCGUGGCCAUCACUAGAUGUACAAGAUGGGAGUAAUCCCAGAUUGUGUAUAGAUUUAUGAAUAUACUCUAAAUGAGGAAGAAUUGUUGGACAUUUAGAGUAUAAAAAAAGUUCAUAUACCACUCGUUUGGUUGUAGUUUGUAACAAGUGUGCUCAUAAACCCUUUUCUUCCCUCCAAUUCUCUCCUUUUUUAUCUUAAAUUGCUAUCCAAACAAAAUGUUUAUGUAAUUUCGUUAGAAUUUUGUUUGAUAAGGUUUAUGAUUACUAGUUUACUAUGAUUAUCUUUUUCUUCACAAUAUUUUUCGCAUUCAUUACUAUCAUAAAAACGAUACAACACAUACUAUUAAAAUUAACCCUAAAUUCAUUAAUCUAAUUAUCACCAUCUAAUAACAACAAGCAUAAUUGGAUUCAAACUGGUUUUUGAGAUAAUUUUAUUUAGGAUUGGAGACACUACUGAUUUUAUCAGUGAAAUCCACCUUUAAAAGCAUUCCAUGAACUCUUGAAAAAAGUGAGCUAUUUUUUAAUAUUUUUUAUAAAAGCCAUGUUUUUGAUAAAAAAAAUUAACAAAAAUAAAAAUAAACUAAUUUCCAAAAGACAUUUUUCUUAAAUUCGAACAAAACUUAACCUGAGAGGGAAACACUCGAUGUUAAUAACGGUAACCCAUAAAAAGGUCAAAUAUAAAUCAAAAAUAUAACAUAAAAAUUGUAAAAGAGGAAUUGUUAGAUGAUACUAAAAGUGAACAAUUCCAUUUUAGUUUUACAGAAUUUCCAUAUGAUAGAUUUUAGUUUUCAUGAAACAUUAUUAGUAGCACUUUUGUAAGAUUUUUCCACAUGGUAGCAUCUAAUUUAUGCACUAUCUAACUGCCGUAGUAUUUUCUGUUAAAUUCUUGUUAAUUUCUGUUUAAUUCAUCAUUUUGUAAAAUUUUUCCGCAUGGUAGCAUCCAAUUUUGCUCUUAAAUGUUUAAUUCACCAAAUUAACGUUUCAUUCACCGAUUAAUUUAACAAAGCUCUUAAAUGUUGUAACUAUUUUAUUUUCAUUUCAAAUUAUUGGCAUUAUAAAGUUCAAAAGGUGCAUUAUAAAUACUAAUAAAUAAGUCAAAAGGUGCAUUUUAUAAGCUCAAAAAGUGUAUUUCAUAAGUUUAAAAAGUGCAUUCUAAGCACUAAUACGUAUCUACUUAAUUGUUACAACAUUUAAGAGCGUUGAUACAUUAAUCAGUGAAUUAAACAUUAAAAUAGUGAAUUAAACAUUUAAGAGCAAAAAUAAAAUGCUACCAAGUGGAAAAAUCUUACAAAAUGAUGAAUUAAACGUAAAUUAACAAGAAUUUAACGGAAAAUACUACGGCUUAGAUAGUGCAUAAAAUGAAUGCUACAAUGUGGAAAAAUCUUACACAAGUGCUACCACUAGCGUUUCAUGAAAAUUAGAUGAUACCAUGUGGAAUCUCCCUUAAUUUUAUUUGUUUUUAAUUUCAUUCUCAUCACACAACUCAUCUUCAUUAUUCUUUGGAGCAUCUUCUUCGCUUUCAUCCAUCAUUUUCCAUCGGUUCUAAGAACUUGCGAACGUGAUCUCAAUAACACCACCAACUCAUCUUCAAUAAGCAUUCAUCAUUUUACCAACAUAUAUUAUCUUUAAUCAUUACGGUUAACAAUUACUAACCAUCAUCACAAUCUUCACUAUCAAUUAUAUCCAUUUUCCUUUCAUUCUGUUAAAUUAGUAUCAUGAAGGAAUAAAAUAGACUAAUAAUAAUCCUAGAUACAUGUAAACCCAUGAAAUUAUAUAUAACAACAUCAUAAACAUAAAUUAUGUAUAAACAAUAGUGGCCAUGUUUAAUGUUAGAAGACCUCUUGAUCGAAGUGCAAGUUAGGGCUUACAAAUGCAAUGUAUUGUAUUUUAUGUGAUCCCUUUAUGUCGCCAUAGAUGAGAACUAGAUACAUAAAUUGUAACUACUAAAUUAAAACGAUAUCACAUCACUUUAAUUUUUUUCGUGUCAUGAACAUUCCGAAUUUCAUCUCUGAUUAUUCUCAUUCUUUCUUAUGUCUAUUAUACAUAGACUAAUAUGAGAACAAAAAGAUGUGCCUUUUCACUUAGUGCAAUCACUAACAAACACAUAUAUUAGGGUCAUAAUAUUUCACAAAUGAACUUUAGUGUAAUAUAUCUAAUUUAUCCUGUCAUCAAAAUAGAUCAUUACAACGAUAUGUACAUUUUAUACUAUUCAUGACAUUAUCGUCAUUAAGCCUAAUGUAUCUUUGAUACACCAAUUUGGCAUUGACUUACAAAUGAUGAUUAACCCGUUUUCUUUAUAACAUAUCAGGUCAAAUAUAAAUUUGAACAAAUUUGAUGGUUGUUUAUUUGGUGGUUCUUAGAAAAUAAUUAUCAAACACAAGAAUAGGAUUAUCAAACAAGUAUGAUAAAAGACUAGUAAAGGGAACUAAGUUGAGAAUGCAUGAAUCGAGAUAAACAUAAAAAUAAAGUCUUGGUGGUAUGAUGGGCAGAACUUCUAUAUCUUACUCUACUAAGGCUAAAGGUGAAAUCAAGUAAAUGACCUAGCGUCAAAGAUAGGAUUAUUCAUGGGUCGUGAACAAGAAUAGGUUGAUUGUUGCUAAGGUUUGAACUCAUCGUCUCACUAAACUAGGUUCUUUUGGAGGUAGAAGUGACCCUUGAUCAUGCACCAUGGCCCAUAUGACAAUAACUCUAAGACGUUUCUCAAUCAACACUCGAAACAUGUAUUUUUUACUCAUAAGUCCCCCUAUUAGAGGGAGAUCUACUUACUCAUCAUGGUAUAAGAAAAUAACAACUCUAUUUUUAGAAUGUUUUUAACUAAAAAAUGUAAGAAUAACAAUAAAAGUUAAACUCAACAAAAUAACUCCUAAACAUGAGUUUCUAGAGUUAAACCAACAAACUAGGCAAGAAGUAGAAUUUACAACAAGCGAACGAAGUAAUGGAAACCAUCCCGCAGAAAUAACUUACUACCACUUUUGAGGUGGAGUAAAACCAUGGACUAAAAUGAAGAAAUAUUGAACUCUUUAAUUAAUAAACCAACAAACCUUUGAAUUCUUGGGGUUGAUGUUUUCAAAAGUGCCCUUCAAAAACUCAAUGUUUGAUUACAAUAACCAUUAGAAUUAAUAUAACAAGAACUUGAACUAAUUAAAGCUCUAAGGUAGAAGAAAAGUGAUAAUGAGAAAAACUAUGCCAGAAGAUAUAAUAGAUGUUAAAUGAUUCAGUGAUAAAGAAGAUGUAAUGGGAUUAAUGUGUGGAGAAAUGGCAAAACUCUAAAGCAUGCUUUUAUAGAACAAAAAAUCAAAAGGUUAGGGUUAGGGCCAACCACCAUCAUCAAUGAUUCCCAACAAAUUUUCAUACUUUUCUCUAAGCUAAACAUGAAGGAAGAUGGUGUAAAUAGCUCUUCAUUGUGUUCAAAAAUAGGAGAAUAACAUAGAAGAGGAAGAAAUGGGAAAGUGGAACUACGAACCCUGAGUCUACGGAGUGUCACCAUCAACACCAAGGGUGACUUCAAGGUUGAGGAACUACGAAUGUUUAGGGUAGCACAUAUGUACAAUGCAUUUCUAUAGAUCCAUCAGCUGCAACCAGCAAGCGGCAUGAUUUCAUCAUAUGAUUAUCAAGUCUUGAAAUUGUUACAAUAUUUACCAAAUCAGAAACUUAUGAUCAAAUUCAUCCAUAAUAUUGUUUCGAAAAUAUUCAAAAACAUACAUUUUGAUUCUUAAAAAAAAUCAGUAUAUGUGUAUCGUCAUUUUUGAUUUCAAUCGUGUUGAUUUUGAGAUAUAAAAUGGUCAAAUUCUUGCAUUAAUUAAUCCAUUUGAUUUCAAUUGUUAAUCGAAGAGAAACUUAGGUUUUUGUGAUUUGUUAUUUCAAAACAGAAUUGGACAUUUUUUUUUAUAUUCGUGAAGUAUAUAUACAACAGCUAUAUAUGCUAUUUUUAGGGUUUAUAUGCAAUUUGAGACAAAUCAAAUUCACCAGAACCCGUUACCAAUUUUAAAUCACUUCUUCCAGUGAAUUUAGAUUCUAAGAUGUAAAUUUUUAAUGUGGAAAAUCCUCACUAACCAAUAGGACAAGCAUUAUGCUUUACCCAUA